CCUACGGGCGGCAGCAGUGGGGAAUAUUGGACAAUGGGGGCAACCCUGAUCCAGCCAUGCCGCGUGUGUGAAGAAGGCCCUCGGGUUGUAAAGCACUUUCAGUGAGGAAGAACGCCUGGUGGUUAAUACCCAUCAGGAAAGACAUCACUCACAGAAGAAGCACCGGCUAACUCCGUGCCAGCAGCCGCGGUAAUACGGAGGGUGCGAGCGUUAAUCGGAAUUACUGGGCGUAAAGCGCGCGUAGGUGGCUUGAUAAGCCGGUUGUGAAAGCCCCGGGCUCAACCUGGGAACGGCAUCCGGAACUGGCAAGCUAGAGUGCAGGAGAGGAAGGUAGAAUUGCCGGUGUAGGGGUGAAAUGCGUAGAGAUCGGGAGGAAUACCAGUGGCGAAGGCGGCCUUCUGGACUGACACUGACACUGAGGUGCGAAAGCGUGGGUAGCAAACAGGAUUAGAUACCCUAGUAGUC
Molecule: ribosomal RNA, 465 nt
Filed under: Vreelandella stevensii
Lineage: Bacteria; Pseudomonadati; Pseudomonadota; Gammaproteobacteria; Oceanospirillales; Halomonadaceae
Description: partial 16S ribosomal RNA
Rfam family: Bacterial small subunit ribosomal RNA
Source: RNAcentral